AAUUCUCAACCCCGGAGUUUUGACUCGGGGAUUGGACUUUGGAGUGUGCUGGCGUCCCGCGUCGGCUCCUCUUAAAUGCAUCAGCGGAAAUCUAACCUUUGGCUUUUUGAACGUCAGUGUGAUAAUUGUGUUGCGCUGUCUUUGAAGUCGGAGUUCCGCUUACAGUGGUCUUCGGACAACUCUUAUCAA
Molecule: unclassified non-coding RNA, 189 nt
Filed under: uncultured Atheliales
Lineage: Eukaryota; Fungi; Basidiomycota; Agaricomycetes; Atheliales
Description: sequence contains ITS2
Source: RNAcentral